RNAcentral lists this long non-coding RNA (1949 nucleotides) under Papio anubis (olive baboon). RNAcentral's name for it is "lncRNA (ENSPANG00000039283.1)". Lineage: Eukaryota; Metazoa; Chordata; Mammalia; Primates; Cercopithecidae. The record is from RNAcentral.
AUGAUCUGGCCCCAUACCUCUGUCUCUCCUCUCCCCUCCCACACUCAGUGCUCCAACUAAGCCAGUGCGCACGUGGGCUCCUGAGGGCCUGGGUUUGCAUGCUCAUGCUGUUCCACACCCACUGCCCAGAAGGGUGGUUUCCCUAUCACAGAUGCUAAAGUCCUCUCCACCGAGGGGAGGCCCUCGGCUGGCCCAAAAGCUACCUCCUCCAGGAGGCCUCCCACGAGCAUCUCAGCCAGAGGUAAUUCUCCUAGCUUUGAGCACCCACAACAUCCUACCUUUCAGCACCCAUCUCCUCCUUUCUCAUGACCAGGGUGCUUUUCAUCUUGUACAGAGUCACUCAUUCAUUUGAAACACUCAUGGGUGCUUGCUUCAUUUCUGGCAUAUUAUUUUGUCUGUACCUGUCUGUGUCUGUGUCUGUGUCUGUGUCUGUGUCUGUGUUUGUGUCUGUGACUGUGUCUGUGUCUGUUUGUGUCUGUGUUUGUGUCAAUGUUUGGCAAAUCAUUUAACUCCUCUGGGCCUCAGUUUCCUCACCCAUAAAGCCAUGGAGCAGGGCAGCUGACUGCUGAGGUCACUCCCAGGGCUGACAUUCUGGGAUUCUAUCAACAUUUAGCCUCUGCUGGGCUGCACCAGUAGCCAGGGCCCCAGGGAACUGUGGGAGUGUUCCUGUGUGGAAUUGCGUCCACCCUGGUGGACGGACCCUGAUAGGAGGUGGGGGAGGGACAGGACCCCAGCUGCAACGGCAGCCAGGCCUUUUAAUAGCUCUUUUGGGGUGGCGUGGGAUGUGGUUGGGCAGGCUUCAUGGAUGAACUCAGGCCAUCGUGCUCCUCAGAACGUUGACUGUUUUUAAAGAAUCUGAAUUACAGAGCUCAGGUUGAAGAGGGCAUGGAAUCUUGUUCACAAGGUAAUAAAGGCAGGACCAUGAGUGAGUCACUUUCCCUCUCUGGGCCUUGUUCCUCAUCUGUUCAAAGAAGGGGCUAAACGUCUAGGUCUCUUAAAAUCUCUCCAAACAUACAACACCGAUGCAACACUACUGCAGCUGUCGAGGCUGCCAUCGGCCGAGCAGAGCCUGUUUUCCAGAGGAGAACUGAGGCUCAGAGAGGUGAAGCCGCUUGCCAAGGUCACACAGCGAGUUGGAGGUAGAGUGGAGCCUGAUCAUUUCUCGUCAGAGCCUGGGCUCUUUGUGGCUCUGCUCUGCUGUUCCCUGCCCUGAGCUGUCACGAUGCUCUCCCACCAUCUGGGCAGCUUUUUUCCUCCCUCCUCAUCCCCCUUUUCCUCCUCCACCCUGCCUCUGCCUUCCCCAGCUCUCCGAUGUCCACUGAGCAGGAAAGAUGCUCAGUCCUGAAGUGCUCACUCUGCCUGCCCAGCAGCAGCCUUGCCUGCUCCUGGGCCUUUCUGGCUUGUGACCAGUUGCUGCAGAGAAACCCUGAGCUCGAUUUUUCUGACCACCCAAUGGCCACCGUUACCUCCACUUAAUAAAUUGCACGGGAGCAAUGGGUGGUCGACGGCAGAGGCCUGCACGGGCUGAGUUGGAAAUUAAAAGCAGCGGCCGAGAGUGGGUUUGAAUGCAGCAACAGGAACCAUGAAUAUUUUACAAGAAACCAGAAUUAUUAAUGUUUCAAUAAAAAACAAAACCCCAAUGUCCAUGCGAAGAUUACAUGUGACUUAAAGCCUUCAGAAAACCGCUGUGGUCCUCCUCCGCUCUGCCUUAAACCACUCAGCAUGGUUUCGCUUAAACCAUCCCCAUCUCGCCAACCCUCAACCCACCCAUCUAAAUGGCGGUGGGGCGCGCUGCAUCCGCCCGACCGCCCCGAUAAUUAGCACAGCCCCCCCUCCUUCCUUCGGAGCUACGGACGAUCAGAGAAAUAUUUCUGGAAGACUAUUUACGAACUUCCCCAUAAUCAUCAAUCAUACAGUUAAGAAGGAAUGGAGCAAGAUUUCUUACCUCA